AGGUCAUUAAGAGGUGAGUACGGAAC
RNAcentral lists this non-coding RNA (26 nucleotides) under Rattus norvegicus (Norway rat). The record is from RNAcentral. Lineage: Eukaryota; Metazoa; Chordata; Mammalia; Rodentia; Muridae.